ACCUAUACUAAAAGGGUUAUAUGAGCAUCAGAGAGUGUGUCCACGUAGGACAAUUAAAUCAUCCAAUCAGGAGGCUUCUCUACGACACGUCAUACACGCGAUGACCAAAGGCGAUUCUCGGCCCCUUUUCUUUUCGUCUUCUCCGCCGAUCUUCGUUUCAAUCCCCUCUCCAUUUUUAAACACGAUCUAAUCUCAUUAAUGGAGUCUUUUGGCUUUCUCAAUCUGAGAUUCUAUAUAUAUAGAUCUCGCACUCCAUCUCCUCUCUUCACCAAAUCUUAUUCCCUCCUCACGAUUAUACUAUACCCUCGGUGAUGAUGUUAUCCGAUGUUUCCGAGUUAGUGAAAACGAGCUGUGACGCUACGGUUCCCCGUUCCAGUCAAACCCGUCAAUCAAACCAGUGUCUCUUCCGACGAUGACAAAGCCGGCGAUGUCAUUUCCGUGAAAUCAGCAGGUCUCUCUGCAGCCUCCUCCGGUCCGAGCAAGUCAAUCGGCAAAACCGGUGUUUCUGCCGGCCUGGGCAUCGGCGCUAAGGACAAAUCCUCUGUCUCUUCCCGCGAGGAUUUCUUGUGAAGAUCUCUGUUAAUAACAAGCUUUAUCGGCCGGAGACGCUGCUUCUAUCUUUGAGGUCAUAUGAUGUUGUUAAGGCCCGAAUUUUCUUUCUUAUCUGGCUAUUUUCGAAUUCCGAUAAUCUGAUUGAGCUUUGUUUUGUUUUUUUUUCGUCAUAACAAGUUUGGAUCAGACAAGGUCAUAAUUGAUGGGCUACAGAUCUUCAACAUGGGAGCAAUGGUUUGUGUAGGAGACAAGAAAAUGAGGCUGGAUUCUUCUUCCAUCUAAUCAGGAGCCAAAAGGCGAGCUCCAGAGGAUGGAAAAUCUAAUUAUUUGGGGCUGUUCUUGGCUGAAAUAACUUGGGCAGGAUUCCUUCGGACGUGCGGUCGGCAUGAAGCUCAUGAAGAAGUCAAGUUUAAGAUCAAUGGUUUAGUUGAGACUGCACCAAAAGUUCCUGAAAAAGUGUAGAAUAUCCACUACGGUACUCCUUGGCCCGGUAAUAAUGUGCGCGAUCAUCCUGCCAUGAUCAAGGUCUUCCUUGGAAACAAAGGUCUUAACGAUGUAGAAAACUACGAGCUGCCUAGGCUGGUUUAUGUUCUCGUGAGGAGAGUGCCCAGGUCUGACAUAAAUUUAUUGUAUUCAGUUGAAGAUACGACUCUCUGGGGUUCUAUCAAAUAGUCUUUAUCUUCUGAAUGAAUGUAGAGUGUGGUUACUACAUUAACAAUACCAAAGCUCUUAGAUCAGCAAUAUGUUUCCCCAAGAAUCCGUAGUCGGGAAAAAGAUUUGUUAUGUUCAAUUCCCUCAACAAGAAUUAUUAUUUGCAGCAGAUGAAAACAAGGUUUUCAUGACUAUUUGCAAUCCCCCACAACAAACAGACUUCUUACGGUAAAAAUAUAACAUAUAUUAACUCUA
Molecule: long non-coding RNA, 1458 nt
Organism: Brassica napus (rape)
Lineage: Eukaryota; Viridiplantae; Streptophyta; Magnoliopsida; Brassicales; Brassicaceae
Exons: 7
Source: RefSeq, a predicted model, not a curated record